CUUUGAGAUAUGAAUAUAUUUGGCAUGUAGUGCAAAUAUGAACUGUUGAUGAUUAUAUUUGGCCUGUAGUGCAAAUAUGAACUGUUGAGGAAUAUCUUUGACCUGUAGUGCAAAGAUGAAUUAUUGAUGAAUAUCUUUGGCCCGUAGUGCAAAGAUGACCUGUUGUUGAAUAUCUUUGGCCUGUAGUACAAAGAUGACCUGUUGUUGAAUAUCUUUUGCCUGUAGUGCAAAGAUGAAAUGAUAAUGAAUAUUUUUAGCCUGUAGUGCAAAGAUGAAUUAUUG
This 282-nucleotide long non-coding RNA is filed under the name Panax ginseng (ginseng). Its description in RNAcentral is "long non-coding RNA (PGIN_LNC004278)". Lineage: Eukaryota; Viridiplantae; Streptophyta; Magnoliopsida; Apiales; Araliaceae. The record is from RNAcentral.